ACUUGUUUGUCUGUAUUUAAAGUAUUAUCGUUUGAGGUUCUUGAAAAGUUUUCAAUGAAAAAUGCUACUGAUUAAAAAAUCUGCGUUAUAUCUUUGUACAUAUUUUGUGCCAUCAUCAACAUAACGAAUUGUUUGUAUUUCUAUUUCAAAAUCGAGCGACGUUUAAUAUUAUGACUUCAUUUAGAUAAAUCCCAUUUCACCACCUACCUAUGUUGUCAUGACAACAACAAUGAAUCGAGAAGAAGGUUUGAAAGCUUUGGAAACAUCUAUCAAAGCCAUUGAAGAAGUCAUUAUGAACAAGAAAGGAACAUUUGUUUUACAACAAGCUCCAAAGGUUGUCACAAAUAUGGAUGAAGCAGACUUUGCAAAGGAACUGGAAAAACUUGAACGUCAAAAUGCAGAAGUUGAUGGUGAUGAUGAUAAUCCUGAUGAUGAAGAAUAACAAGAGCUUGUUUUGACUCUUGGGAGAUGUUUCCAUCACGAAAGUCAAAGUCUACACAUUGACGCCCACCAUUCUGUGACGUAAAUCGAUGAAACUCUCACCUUCGCAUCUUCAUGUUGUCAGGUUGAGAUUUCUACUUCAGAAGAGAGGUUGCUGUGACUGUAAGAGCCAUGGAUAAGAAGCCUGGUGAAACUUCGAAGAACUCGAGAAGCUCAGAAAAUGAACAAAACGACCAAAGCAAUGAUUAGGAAAACUUUCAAGAUCGUCAUGGAGAAGUGAGAGCGGAAAUGGGAAAUGGUACUGGAGGUUAUCCCAUACCAGAGAGCCGUAUUGAAGAAUUCAAUUUUUCGCCUUACAUACCAGGAGAACUUUAAAUCAACUUUAGCUCAAUGUAUUAGAACCUUCAUAUUUAGAAACAACCACUCACCUUAUAUCUUUUAUUUAUUUGUACGUUAAACGUAAACACUUCAUUAUACAUUCUGUUUCAAAAACAAAAACUUUCAAGGACAUGUAUGCUAACACCUUGACCGCCUUGUGUAAUUAAUUGACAAACAAUUUAUGUAGCUUUUUUAAAAACUUUGUACGUAAACUUUUGUAACUAUAUUCAUUUUUUUAUUUGCGCCAUUGUUGUCUUUGAUUGGAAUGAUCAUUUUUGAUGUAAUCAGUUUUAACAGUGGUUUUAAUAACGAACUAUUCACCGUUUUCUCUUUAGGUAUUUCUUGGUAAUUGAUUUUAAGACAAGCCAAAUGAUUAUGGUAAAUGUUUUUUGAGGAAAAAGACAUUUUUGAGUAUAACGAGACAAUAACUUCAAAAACACCAUAAUUUUCAUUAAUUGUGGUUAAUUUUUGAUUGAUUAUCAUAUUGAAUUUCAUAAAUAAUUUGUAAUGAUAAUUAUUCAUUGCGCUCGGCCAGGGGACUGUGAAAAUUGUGAAUUGGUUUUGUAUUUAUGAAAGCUGACUUGAUAACAUUGAAAAUGAACUGAAAUUUUUUUUCUUUGCUUUUCUCUCAUUAUGGUAAAACAAAGGUUAUCCUCUCUGUGGCAUUUCGUUAUUUGUGUCUUAAUUUACGACCACAAUGGCUGACUAUGUUUGCUGGCGUUUUGGGGAGUAAUUUGUUUAUUUGCAUUUAACCUGGAAAUGUUAACGUGAAAGAACCAGAACCGAACGAAGAAAAAGUUGAACCAAUACAUUCUGUGCUUGACGUAAUAAGAUAAAUCCCAUUUCACCACCAACUUAUGUUGUCAUGACAACAACAAUGAAUCGAGAAGAAGGUUUGAAAGCUUUGGAAACAUCUAUCAAAGUCAUUGAAGAAGUCAUUAUGAACAAGAAAGGAACAUUUGUUUUACAACAAGCUGUAAGUGUUUGGUUUAUAUUUCUAUGAAAAGUAUAUUGUAUCACUAAAAUGACAUCCCCCUGGUGCCUCUACUAUCCUCAUAUCAUCCUGUUACCAUUUCCCUAAGUACCCCAUGCUGUAUUAAGACGGACAUAUUCAAUCAUUAGUCGUUUAUUUGAAAAUUACAAUGACACCAUCCCAAUGCAUUGAAAUCAAUAAUAUUAGGACCCUGUGACAUUGGCAAUAAUUUAUGUAAACUGACCACAAAAAUUAGUUUUUCCUAAAGCUAAUUAUGCAUUGUGAUAUCAUAACAAUGUCUUUUGCAUAUUGAAGAAAAGUUAUGUGUCUCAUCUGAUUAUGGCUCAUCUGAUUAUGACCUUCAUGGGAGGUAUCGGUCCCACUUUACCAUACUUUUAUAUUACAAAAUCACAGUUU
This is an RNA transcript of Xenia sp. Carnegie-2017, 2209 nucleotides long. RefSeq lists it as uncharacterized. The record is from RefSeq and is a predicted model, not a curated record. NCBI's taxonomy places the organism in Eukaryota, Metazoa, Cnidaria, Anthozoa, Malacalcyonacea, Xeniidae. The transcript has 7 exons.